CGCGGCGGAGGUGGUGGUUUCA
RNAcentral lists this non-coding RNA (22 nucleotides) under Arabidopsis thaliana (thale cress). Lineage: Eukaryota; Viridiplantae; Streptophyta; Magnoliopsida; Brassicales; Brassicaceae. The record is from RNAcentral.